AUUGAACGCUGGCGGCAUGCCUUACACAUGCAAGUCGAACGGCAGCACGGGUGCUUGCACCUGGUGGCGAGUGGCGAACGGGUGAGUAUUACAUCGGAACGUACCUUAUCGUGGGGGAUAACGCAGCGAAAGCUGUGCUAAUACCGCAUACGCCCUGAGGGGGAAAGCGGGGGAUCGCAAGACCUCGCGCGAUUAGAGCGGCCGAUGCCUGAUUAGCUUGUUGGUGGGGUAAAAGCCCACCAAGGCGACGAUCAGUAGCUGGUCUGAGAGGACGAUCAGCCACACUGGGACUGAGACACGGCUCAGACUCCUACGGGAGGCAGCAGUGGGGAAUUUUGGACAAUGGGGGCAACCCUGAUCCAGCAAUGCCGCGUGAGUGAAGAAGGCCUUCGGGUUGUAAAGCUCUUUUGUCAGGGAAGAAACACCGGCUCUAACACAGUCCGGGAAUGACGGUACCUGAAGAAUAAGCACCGGCUAACUACGUGCCAGCAGCCGCGGUAAG
This 502-nucleotide ribosomal RNA is filed under the name uncultured bacterium. Its description in RNAcentral is "partial 16S ribosomal RNA". It matches the Rfam family "Bacterial small subunit ribosomal RNA", at positions 30 to 524 of the family's 1533-position model. The record is from RNAcentral.